CUAAGGAAACAAUUAUCAUCUUCAGUUUUGAGAGACUUAAGAAAGUUUUUCAUUGUCACUUGCUUGCAAAUUGUAUUUGCAACAUUUUAAUCUUUUUAAGAUUAAGGGCCUAUAGCUCAGUUGGUUAGAGCACACGCCUGAUAAGCGUGAGGUCGGUGGUUCAAGUCCAUUUAGGCCCACCAUAACCACAAAUAGGCAAAAUCUUAAAAAAGCUCUUUGAAAAGUAGAUAAACGAAGGUUAAAAAAUC
This 248-nucleotide unclassified non-coding RNA is filed under the name Hyacinth virescence phytoplasma. Its description in RNAcentral is "16S-23S ribosomal RNA intergenic spacer". The stretch from base 106 to 179 matches the Rfam family "tRNA". Lineage: Bacteria; Bacillati; Mycoplasmatota; Mollicutes; Acholeplasmatales; Acholeplasmataceae. The record is from RNAcentral. RNAcentral also lists the same sequence under 5 other names.